AUACUCUAGUUUCUCUUCAGAUUAUAUAAAUCUUUUGCCUUUUACUAAAGAUUUCCGUGAAGAAAGAUCCCUUCUAUGUCCAAGUAGCUCAACUUGUUACAAAUCAUGAAUUUUGUUUG
Molecule: small nuclear RNA, 119 nt
Organism: Heterocephalus glaber (naked mole-rat)
Lineage: Eukaryota; Metazoa; Chordata; Mammalia; Rodentia; Bathyergidae
Gene: U5
Rfam family: U5 spliceosomal RNA
About the family: U5 RNA is a component of both types of known spliceosome. The precise function of this molecule is unknown, though it is known that the 5' loop is required for splice site selection and p220 binding, and that both the 3' stem-loop and the Sm site are important for Sm protein binding and cap methylation.
Source: Ensembl